RNAcentral lists this long non-coding RNA (1608 nucleotides) under Marmota monax (woodchuck). The record is from RNAcentral. Lineage: Eukaryota; Metazoa; Chordata; Mammalia; Rodentia; Sciuridae.
UAGAACUAUACUUUAAUUAAAUAAAAACUAAAUUAAACCCAGAAUAGAGUACAUUCUCUGGAAAAGCUGUGAUUGUAGUGUAGUGGUUUUAAUGUAUAUUUUAAUAUAUAUGGUUUAUAGAUAUGUAACUUUUAAGUAUAUUAACAUAGUAUCAACCUAAUUGUCCUUCAAGUUGGCUCAUUUGAUUUACAAACAUGGUUUCUGAAGUUUAAUAGUAUUUGUAAUGGCAAAGUCCAAAGCAAUUUUGGCUGAGCAAAGCGCUAUUUGUUGAACAAAAAUGUAGUUGUUUGUGCAAGUUUAAACAUCUCACAAGGCCAGCUGAGUUCAUUUCAACCCUACUUACAAAAUAAUUAUUGGCAAAUGAAAUGGGCUAGGGGUAGAGACAAGAUAUUUUCAAGCUUCUGAGAGGUUCACAAAACCAAAUUUUUGCUUAUUGAAAGUGAAAUUAAAAGGUCACAGACAAUUGAAAGGUACAUAUUGAAAUCUCAGGAUUAAAAAGGGUUUUGACAAGAGGAAUAUUUACAAUGGAACAAUGAGGAAAAUGUUAUGUUACAGUCAGAAACAUGGAAAAUAUGCUGUUCAAAUUUGUUGGCUCUGGAAUAAAUAAAAUCCAGACUUAGACUAUUAAAAAUAUCAAAGUGAUCCACUAUGUGCCAACUCCAUUUUCUUCUGUUGUUUGUUAUAAAGAAAAUCCAUUAUUGAAUAUAAUACAGUUCUGGCUAAAUUAUCAAAGACAUUUUCCAUAUGCAAACUGUAGUUUACCAUAUGCUAUAUAUUCUCUAACAAUUUUAAUACCCUUCUAUCACAGAACAUAGAUGUAGAGUUAAAAGGAAAUUUCGAGUUUUAUUUCAACCUCUUAUUCAGGGCACAAGUCCCUCCCUUCCGAGUCAUUCAACUCAUGAUUAUUAGCACCUAUCAUGAGAAAGAGUUUUUGGAUGGAAAUUAAAGAUUAAACAAACAAACAAAUAAAAAUCUUCAAGAUGUUCCCCACCUGUUAGGUGGAAGAAAGUAUCCUUGUCCAGUGAUUGUCAUUAAGCCUAGACUGACACUCUGCUAGCUCAUGACAGAAGCUUACCACAUUGAAGGAAGCGCAUCCUUUCAAUGGGUCACUUCAUAAUUAGGAAGGUGCAUAUUAAACUGAGACUUGCAUCAGCUUACCCUGGUUUUGCCUUCGGGAACUACACAGAACAUACCUAUUCUAUUUUCUUCAGCUUAACUCUUCAAAGAAUUUGAGAGGACUUUCCUAUGUCUUGUAGUUUUCCCCCUUUGAGCAAUAAUCUUAAUUUACCUUAUUUUCACUACCAUAGAAUUCUUUCAUUACACUUAGGGAUUUCAAAAACUACCUCAUAUCAACCUUAACAGUUCAGUAUUGCACUAAAAUAAAACAGCAUUUUCAAAUUAGGACAUUUAGAAACCAAGAGUUAUAGCAUUCAAUUGGAUUUGAUUUGACAUUAGUCUUUUGUAAUCAGGCUAGCAUUGACCAACAACAGAUGUUUAGGGAAAAAAGAUGAAACACCUAAGUCUUGCCAACACUGGGUAUUUGAGGGAAAGGGGCAUAAAUCUUCUUUAAUGAAAUUUGAGUGAUCUAAGACAAUGACAACUUCAUAU